Molecule: RNA transcript, 1795 nt
Organism: Diachasmimorpha longicaudata
Lineage: Eukaryota; Metazoa; Arthropoda; Insecta; Hymenoptera; Braconidae
Gene name: zinc finger protein 385B-like
Exons: 9
Source: RefSeq, a predicted model, not a curated record
CAAUAGUCCCAAUAACAAUUUAUUUAGGGUACAAUCGACCCUAUCCUCACGCUGAAAUUCACUGAGAGAAUUCGAUAACAUCAGAGUUCAUUAAAAGACUAUUUUUCUCUAAUAUUAACCUUUAGGUGGGUUGAAGAUAUUUACUAGGUUAGUGCUGGGAAAAAGUCCCCACAACCGAAUAAUCAGUGUGAAACCUAACCUAUAAGUAUGCACAUUCAGCGGUGCUAUCUUUUGCAGCGGUGACGACCUGGUUCAGUUGUUUUCAAUAUUAAACGAACCGCUGGAAGAUGUCUAGGAGAAAGAGCAUUGAAAAUCCUGAGGUCCCUGGACUGGAACAGAACCUGCCUCCCCCACUCCCUCCCUUACCCCCAGAAAAAAUAUCUGAACCACCGGUACCAGAACCACUUCCAUCAGAAAAUGAAGCAAUUGUUCCACAAGUGAAUCUCUCGAUCAUCCCCAACCUUCCCCCACAGAUGAAUCCCCACGAUCAGCCGACUCCUCACGUCAUGCCACCAUUACCCUACAUGCCACCCCCUGUUCCACAACUCCCAGUGGGUCAAAUGAUCCCCUGGUGGGUGGCAAGAGACGCUGACAGCACCGGUAUAUAUUCCCAGUGGUCAAAAAGUCAAUCUGAAGCGUUUGCUCCCGAAAUAAAUAACGAGACUGGUGCUACUAAUUUCAAGAGGAAAAUCGAACAGGUUGAUCCUGCCAAAGACGCAGAAAAAGUCGCUAGUGCCCAAUCGGAACUCUCGGCCCUCAUGAAGCCUCUGCGCUGUGAUCUUUGCAAUGCAGUUAUGAAUUCAACACUGCAAGCGAAAUUACAUUACGAGGGGAAGCCACAUCAGAAAAAAGUCUCGAUGUUCCUUAAUCAGAGUGUUAAAAAAUUGAAGACUGACGAGGGGCCUAUUACAACCACCUCUAACGAUUGGAGUUCUUACUGUGAUGUCUGCAAAACUUGGUUUACGUCUCAGGCAGACGCAUCUCAGCAUUACGCCGGAAAGAAGCAUAUCCGAGCUACAACUGGUGCGCCAAAGAAAAAAAGUCCAAAGAAAAAUUCUGUUCCCCCACCGCCGGUGGACCCAACAGGGAGAUUCGGAAUCGGUGCCGGCUUUCAAUUGGAGCCCCAGAACCCUUCAUUUGUACCCGAAGCCGUAGUACCACUCAUUCCGAAUCCCCAGAUGUAUAACCCUGUAGCUACGACAUACUCAACUGCCUUGAGGUGCGAUCUCUGUGGAGUAACUGCCAAUCGCUUGGAACAACUAGAGACCCACAAGAAAGGGAUAAGACACCAAAAAAUGCUGCGAUUAAAUGGGGUGAUUCCUACGGAAACUGUCGUGACCACAAGCGAACACGUGGUUAGUGCAACGACGAUUGACUAUUCCAUCUGCAGAACACCAUCAGGUUCGUACUACUGCGCUGCCUGUGAUAAGUCCUUCACAUCGGAGAAUACCUUCGCCCAGCACGUAGAGAGUAAAAAACACAAAAAUCAAAUAAAUCCAAAACCACCUGGUAAUCAAACCCAGAAACCAUCAACUCAAGAUAAACAUAAGAAGCACAAAUGAUAGAAGGAAAUGUUCAAAUAGUUCUAUAUUUUUUAUUUCGACAAAGUGAUGAUAUUCUUAUGAACAUGUUGUGUUUCCUGGAUAAUAAAUAUGAUGUUCUUUGCUAGUACCGCUGGAACAAUCAUCAACCAUUUAUCAAUAAUUGGAGUUAGGGUAAAAAAAUAAGACCAGAUAAAUUUUUUCGAAUGUAAUUUGUUUCAAUCAUUUAUAAUUGCUGAUGGUGAAGAAACAUU